This 492-nucleotide ribosomal RNA is filed under the name uncultured bacterium. RNAcentral's name for it is "partial 16S ribosomal RNA". It matches the Rfam family "Bacterial small subunit ribosomal RNA", at positions 29 to 507 of the family's 1533-position model. The record is from RNAcentral.
AGUGAACGCUGGCGGUAGGCCUAACACAUGCAAGUCGAACGGCAGCACAGUAAGAGCUUGCUCUUACGGGUGGCGAGUGGCGGACGGGUGAGGAAUACAUCGGAAUCUACUUUUUCGUGGGGGAUAACGUAGGGAAACUUACGCUAAUACCGCAUACGACCUACGGGUGAAAGCAGGGGAUCUUCGGACCUUGCGCGAGUGAAUGAGCCGAUGUCGGAUUAGCUAGUUGGCGGGGUAAAGGCCCACCAAGGCGACGAUCCGUAGCUGGUCUGAGAGGAUGAUCAGCCACACUGGAACUGAGACACGGUCCAGACUCCUACGGGAGGCAGCAGUGGGGAAUAUUGGACAAUGGGCGCAAGCCUGAUCCAGCGAUACCGCGUGGGUGAAGAAGGCCUUCUGGUUGUAAAGCCCUUUUGUUGGGAAAGAAAAGCAGCAGGUUAAUACCCCGCUGUUCUGACGGUACCCAAAGAAUAAGCACCGGCUAACUUCGUG